GUCAAGUCAGCAUGGCCUUUAUAUCCUGGGCUACACACACGCUACAAUGGGAAGGGACAAUAGGUAGCGAAGCCGCGAGGCGGAGCCAAUCCAGCAAAACUUCCCUCAGUUCAGAUUGCAGGCUGCAACCCGCCUGCAUGAAGUUGGAGUUGCUAGUAAACGCAGGUCAGCCAUACUGCGUUGAAUACGUUCCCGGGGCUU
RNAcentral lists this ribosomal RNA (201 nucleotides) under uncultured Anaerolineaceae bacterium. RNAcentral describes it as "partial 16S ribosomal RNA". It matches the Rfam family "Bacterial small subunit ribosomal RNA", at positions 1184 to 1382 of the family's 1533-position model. The record is from RNAcentral. Lineage: Bacteria; Bacillati; Chloroflexota; Anaerolineae; Anaerolineales; Anaerolineaceae.